UACGUAGGUGGCAAGCGUUGUCCGGAAUUAUUGGGCGUAAAGCGCGCGCAGGCGGUCUUUUAAGUCUGAUGUGAAAGCCCCCGGCUCAACCGGGGAGGGUCAUUGGAAACUGGGAGACUUGAGUGCAGAAGAGAAGAGUGGAAUUCCACGUGUAGCGGUGAAAUGCGUAGAGAUGUGGAGGAACACCAGUGGCGAAGGCGACUCUUUGGUCUGUAACUGACGCUGAGGCGCGAAAGCGUGGGGAGCAAACAGG
Molecule: ribosomal RNA, 253 nt
Filed under: uncultured bacterium
Lineage: Bacteria
Description: partial 16S ribosomal RNA
Rfam family: Bacterial small subunit ribosomal RNA
Source: RNAcentral